RNAcentral lists this ribosomal RNA (301 nucleotides) under uncultured bacterium. RNAcentral describes it as "partial 16S ribosomal RNA". It matches the Rfam family "Bacterial small subunit ribosomal RNA", at positions 509 to 807 of the family's 1533-position model. The record is from RNAcentral.
CAGCCGCCGCGGUAAAACGGAGGGAGCUAGCGUUGUUCGGGAUUACUGGGCGUAAAGCGCGCGUAGGCGGUUACUCAAGUCAGAGGUGAAAGCCCGGGGCUCAACCCCGGAACUGCCUUUGAAACUAGGUGACUAGAAUCUUGGAGAGGUCAGUGGAAUUCCGAGUGUAGAGGUGAAAUUCGUAGAUAUUCGGAAGAACACCAGUGGCGAAGGCGACUGACUGGACAAGUAUUGACGCUGAGGUGCGAAAGCGUGGGGAGCAAACAGGAUUAGAUACCCCCGUAGUCCCUGUCUCUUAUAC